RNAcentral lists this ribosomal RNA (856 nucleotides) under Septoria justiciae. RNAcentral's name for it is "LSU rRNA". It matches the Rfam family "Eukaryotic large subunit ribosomal RNA", at positions 34 to 919 of the family's 3401-position model. The record is from RNAcentral. Lineage: Eukaryota; Fungi; Ascomycota; Dothideomycetes; Mycosphaerellales; Mycosphaerellaceae.
UUAAGCAUAUCAAUAAGCGGAGGAAAAGAAACCAACAGGGAUUGCCCUAGUAACGGCGAGUGAAGCGGCAACAGCUCAAAUUUGAAAUCUGGCGUAAGCCCGAGUUGUAAUUUGUAGAGGAUGCUUCUGGGUAGCGACCGAUCUAAGUUCCUUGGAACAGGACGUCAUAGAGGGUGAGAAUCCCGUAUGUGACCGGCCCGCACCCUUUACGUAGCUCCUUCGACGAGUCGAGUUGUUUGGGAAUGCAGCUCUAAAUGGGAGGUAAAUUUCUUCUAAAGCUAAAUACCGGCCAGAGACCGAUAGCGCACAAGUAGAGUGAUCGAAAGAUGAAAAGUACUUUGGAAAGAGAGUUAAAAAGCACGUGAAAUUGUUGAAAGGGAAGCGCCUGCAACCAGACUUCGUGGCAGUGUUCCGCCGGUCUUCUGACCGGUUUAUUCUCUGUCGCGAGGCCAUCAUCGUCUAGGCCCGCCGGAUAAGACCUUAGGAAUGUAGCUCACCUUCGGGGGAGUGUUAUAGCUUAUGGUGAUGCGGCGAGGCUUGGGCGAGGUCCGCGCUUCGGCAAGGAUGAUGGCGUAAUGGUUGUCGGCGGCCCGUCUUGAAACACGGACCAAGGAGUCUAACAUCUAUGCGAGUGUUCGGGUGUCAAACCCCUACGCGUAAUGAAAGUGAACGGAGGUGGGAACCGCAAGGUGCACCAUCGACCGAUCCUGAUGUCCUCGGAUGGAUUUGAGUAAGAGCAUAGCUGUUGGGACCCGAAAGAUGGUGAACUAUGCCUGGAUAGGGUGAAGCCAGAGGAAACUCUGGUGGAGGCUCGCAGCGGUUCUGACGUGCAAAUCGAUCGUCAAAUUUGGGUAUA